UACGUAGGGGGCUAGCGUUGUCCGGAAUCAUUGGGCGUAAAGCGCGUGUAGGCGGUCCGGUAAGUCCGCUGUGAAAGUCGAGGGCUCAACCCUCGAAUGCCGGUGGAUACUGUCGGGCUUGAGUACGGGAGAGGCGAGUGGAAUUCCUGGUGUAGCGGUGAAAUGCGCAGAUAUCAGGAGGAACACCGGUGGCGAAGGCGGCAUCCUGGACCGACACUGACGCUGAGGAGCGAAAGCCAGGGGAGCAAACGGG
Molecule: ribosomal RNA, 253 nt
Filed under: uncultured bacterium
Lineage: Bacteria
Description: partial 16S ribosomal RNA
Rfam family: Bacterial small subunit ribosomal RNA
Source: RNAcentral